GUCGGAUGAUUAUGGGUUGGGUCGGGUUUUGGAUAAUGGAGAAUCACAGUUCACAAAACGCGAUUUAAAAAUCUACAAUCACAUUUUCGAAAUUGGAUUAGAAAGGGGGAUUUGAGCAGAACAAAAAAGAAUGGAAGAGUUGUAAAGAGAUUUUAUAUCUGUGGGUGGUUUGGUCAUCAGUUGGGUAGUAUAGGUGGGAAUAGAUAGGGUUGUGGUGUUUAAAGGGGGUUUUAUGCAGUCAUC
Molecule: long non-coding RNA, 243 nt
Filed under: Brassica napus (rape)
Lineage: Eukaryota; Viridiplantae; Streptophyta; Magnoliopsida; Brassicales; Brassicaceae
Description: long non-coding RNA (BNAP_LNC013131)
Source: RNAcentral